AGAUUGAACGCUGGCGGCAUGCUUUACACAUGCAAGUCGAACGGCAGCGCGGGGCAACCUGGCGGCGAGUGGCGAACGGGUGAGUAAUAUAUCGGAACGUACCCAAGAGUGGGGGAUAACGUAGCGAAAGUUACGCUAAUACCGCAUACGAUCUAAGGAUGAAAGCAGGGGACCGCAAGGCCUUGUGCUCCUGGAGCGGCCGAUAUCUGAUUAGCUAGUUGGUAGGGUAAAGGCCUACCAAGGCUACGAUCAGUAGCUGGUCUGAGAGGACGACCAGCCACACUGGAACUGAGACACGGUCCAGACUCCUACGGGAGGCAGCAGUGGGAAUUUUGGACAAUGGGCGCAAGCCUGAUCCAGUCAAUGCCGCGUGAGUGAAGAAGGCCGUUACGGUUGUAAAGCUUCGUUUGUCUAGGGAAGUAAACGGUGGGAGACUAAUAGUCUACGUUACUAAUGUACGGUAACCUGAAGAAUAAGCACCGGACUAACUACGUG
Molecule: ribosomal RNA, 495 nt
Filed under: uncultured soil bacterium
Lineage: Bacteria
Description: bacterial SSU rRNA
Rfam family: Bacterial small subunit ribosomal RNA
Source: RNAcentral